AAUAGAUACCCGGGUAGUCCACGCCGUAAACGAUGGAUACUAGCUGUUUGAGCGCAAAUUUGAGUGGCUAAGCGAAAGUGAUAAGUAUCCCACCUGGGGAGUACGGGCGCAAGCCUGAAACUCAAAGGAAUUGACGGGGGCCCGCACAAGCGGUGGAGCAUGUGGUUUAAUUCGAAUGAUACGCGAGGAACCUUACCAGGGCUUAAAUGUAGAUUGACGUAUUUGGAAACAGAUAUUUCUUCGGACAAUUUACAAGGUGCUGCAUGGUUGUCGUCAGCUCGUGCCGUGAGGUGUCAGGUUAAGUCCUAUAACGAGCGCAACCCCUGUUGUUAGUUGCCAGCGAGUAAUGUCGGGAACUCUAGCAAGACUGCCAGUGUAAACUGUGAGGAAGGUGGGGAUGACGUCAAAUCAUCACGGCCCUUACGUCCUGGGCCACACACGUGCUACAAUGGCCGGUACAGAGAGCAGCCACUUAGCGAUAAGGAGCGAAUCUAUAAAGCCGGUCACAGUUCGGAUCGGAGU
This 522-nucleotide ribosomal RNA is filed under the name uncultured bacterium. Its description in RNAcentral is "bacterial SSU rRNA". It matches the Rfam family "Bacterial small subunit ribosomal RNA", at positions 777 to 1304 of the family's 1533-position model. The record is from RNAcentral.